This 429-nucleotide ribosomal RNA is filed under the name Actinomycetes bacterium. RNAcentral describes it as "Actinobacteria bacterium partial 16S ribosomal RNA". It matches the Rfam family "Bacterial small subunit ribosomal RNA", at positions 355 to 776 of the family's 1533-position model. The record is from RNAcentral. Lineage: Bacteria; Bacillati; Actinomycetota; Actinomycetes.
UAGGGAAUCUUCCGCAAUGGGCGAAAGCUUGACGGAGCAACGCCGCGUGAGUGAUGAAGGUCUUCGGAUCGUAAAACUCUGUUAUUAGGGAAGAACAAAUGUGUAAGUAACUAUGCACGUCUUGACGGUACCUAAUCAGAAAGCCACGGCUAACUACGUGCCAGCAGCCGCGGUAAUACGUAGGUGGCAAGCGUUAUCCGGAAUUAUUGGGCGUAAAGCGCGCGUAGGCGGUUUUUUAAGUCUGAUGUGAAAGCCCACGGCUCAACCGUGGAGGGUCAUUGGAAACUGGAAAACUUGAGUGCAGAAGAGGAAAGUGGAAUUCCAUGUGUAGCGGUGAAAUGCGCAGAGAUAUGGAGGAACACCAGUGGCGAAGGCGACUGUCUGGUCUGUAACUGACGCUGAUGUGCGAAAGCGUGGGGAUCAAACAGG